AACGCUGGCGGCAGGCCUAACACAUGCAGUCGACCGGACCCUUCGGGGUUAGUGCGGACGGGUGAGUAACACGUGGGAACGUGCCUUUAGGUUCGGAAUAGCUCCUGGAAACGGGUGGUAAUGCCGAAUGUGCCCUUCGGGGGAAAGAUUUAUCGCCUUUAGAGCGGCCCGCGUCUGAUUAGCUAGUUGGUGAGGUAACGGCUCACCAAGGCGACGAUCAGUAGCUGGUCUGAGAGGAUGACCAGCCACGACUGGGACUGAGACACGGCCCAGACUCCUACGGGAGGCAGCAGUGGGGAAUCUUGCGCAAUGGGCGAAAGCCUGACGCAGCCAUGCCGCGUGAAUGAUGAAGGUCUUAGGAUUGUAAAAUUCUUUCACCGGGGACGAUAAUGACGGUACCGGAGAAGAAGCCCCGGCUA
Molecule: ribosomal RNA, 419 nt
Filed under: Brevundimonas diminuta
Lineage: Bacteria; Pseudomonadati; Pseudomonadota; Alphaproteobacteria; Caulobacterales; Caulobacteraceae
Description: bacterial SSU rRNA
Rfam family: Bacterial small subunit ribosomal RNA
Source: RNAcentral